This 230-nucleotide ribosomal RNA is filed under the name uncultured bacterium. RNAcentral's name for it is "partial 16S ribosomal RNA". It matches the Rfam family "Bacterial small subunit ribosomal RNA", at positions 563 to 791 of the family's 1533-position model. The record is from RNAcentral.
AAGCGUGCGCAGGCGGUUAUGUAAGACAGAUGUGAAAUCCCCCGGGCUCAACCUGGGAACUGCAUUAGUGACUGCAUAGCUGGAGUACGGCAGAGGGGGAUGGAAUUCCGCGUGUAGCAGUGAAAUGCGUAGAUAUGCGGAGGAACACCGAUGGCGAAGGCAAUCCCCUGGGCCUGUACUGACGCUCAUGCACGAAAGCGUGGGGAGCAAACAGGAUUAGAUACCCCAGU